UAUAAACGCUAUAGAACUAAGAGAAGAAGUAUCUAAGUAGCAUCAA
RNAcentral lists this small RNA (46 nucleotides) under Arabidopsis thaliana (thale cress). Its description in RNAcentral is "ATSL236160". Lineage: Eukaryota; Viridiplantae; Streptophyta; Magnoliopsida; Brassicales; Brassicaceae. The record is from RNAcentral.